This is a non-coding RNA of Macaca mulatta (Rhesus monkey), 840 nucleotides long. NCBI's taxonomy places the organism in Eukaryota, Metazoa, Chordata, Mammalia, Primates, Cercopithecidae. The record is from RefSeq and is a predicted model, not a curated record.
CGUAAGUUGAGUUCCAGCUAGAAAUGCUUCUCUUGACUCUUCCAGCAGACAGAGAAGUCAGCUGCCUAAGAGGUAUGAUUGGAGAGUUCCCAAGAGUACCUUCGGAGAAGAAACACUCUUCAACCACAUCUGAUAUUCAUUCUUUUGGGUUGACUAUGUUAAACUGCAGAUACCUCAGUGUGGUGACAUGUUAAGUUUGGUGUUAGAUAAUUUUGUCAUCCAGUUUCCAACUAUAAGAAAAGGUUUGACAAAGAGAAAAAGAAUUUAAACUGGCUGGGAAAGUAAUCUCAAAGAUAAAGCCUCUGUCCGUGGUUCUCUCUAAUCUUCUGGGAAAGAAGAACAAUCUGGCCACCUGCACUAGCCUUCUGGUGGAUGGCCAUUGAUUGGUGGUGGGGGUCUCAGACAGUUAUGUGGACCCUUAGAAAGCUGAUGGGCCCCAGGCCCCGUGACAACAGUGCCGAAGGGUUAACAAGGCCCUGGUGAGGCUGGUUGUCAUUUUCAUAACUUUAUCAGUCUAGAAGUCUGCAAUUCCAAAAUGGGAUAAUGUAACACAGGCACAGAGAACCAUGGCUGAGGUGAGUCAGCUGGGUUCAAACCAGAAAUAAGAAUAGCACUAUGGGCGUUCCAGUCAAUUGAUGCGGGAACAACGCCCCCCCCCCCUUUUUUUUUUUCCAGUUCAUUCCUUUCUUUAAAAGGAGAUUCAGUUAGUUUUCAUCUCUCCUUCUCUUACUUCUAGAAUUUGCUAAAGGCCCUGAAUAUCUUAUUACUACCAUUUUAACACUGUAGGUAUGCUCUAGUUCAAAAAAAUCCCAAAUAAUAAAACCUGACCUUAUCAAAGAA